RNAcentral lists this ribosomal RNA (451 nucleotides) under uncultured bacterium. Its description in RNAcentral is "partial 16S ribosomal RNA". It matches the Rfam family "Bacterial small subunit ribosomal RNA", at positions 354 to 796 of the family's 1533-position model. The record is from RNAcentral.
GUGGGGAAUAUUGGACAAUGGGGGGAACCCUGAUCCAGCCAUGCCGCGUGUGUGAAGAAGGCCUUUUGGUUGUAAAGCACUUUAAGCGAGGAGGAGGCUACCGAGAUUAAUACUCUUGGAUAGUGGACGUUACUCGCAGAAUAAGCACCGGCUAACUCUGUGCCAGCAGCCGCGGUAAUACAGAGGGUGCAAGCGUUAAUCGGAUUUACUGGGCGUAAAGAGCGCGUAGGUGGCAAAUUAAGUCAAAUGUGAAAUCCCCGAGCUUAACUUGGGAAUUGCAUUCGAUACUGGUUGGCUAGAGUAUGGGAGAGGAUGGUAGAAUUCCAGGUGUAGCGGUGAAAUGCGUAGAGAUCUGGAGGAAUACCGAUGGCGAAGGCAGCCAUCUGGCCUAAUACUGACACUGAGGUGCGAAAGCAUGGGGAGCAAACAGGAUUAGAUACCCGUGUAGUCC